RNAcentral lists this transfer RNA (78 nucleotides) under Candidatus Odinarchaeota archaeon. RNAcentral describes it as "tRNA-Arg". It matches the Rfam family "tRNA". Rfam says of the family: Transfer RNA (tRNA) molecules are approximately 80 nucleotides in length. Their secondary structure includes four short double-helical elements and three loops (D, anti-codon, and T loops). Further hydrogen bonds mediate the characteristic L-shaped molecular structure. tRNAs have two regions of fundamental functional importance: the anti-codon, which is responsible for specific mRNA codon recognition, and the 3' end, to which the tRNAs corresponding amino acid is attached (by aminoacyl-tRNA synthetases). tRNAs cope with the degeneracy of the genetic code in two manners: having more than one tRNA (with a specific anti-codon) for a particular amino acid; and 'wobble' base-pairing, i.e. permitting non-standard base-pairing at the 3rd anti-codon position. Lineage: Archaea; Promethearchaeati; Candidatus Odinarchaeota. The record is from RNAcentral. RNAcentral also lists the same sequence under 3 other names.
GGGCCCGUGGCCUAGACUGGAUAGGGCACCAGAUUGCGGAUCUGGGGAUCCGGGGUUCAAAUCCCUGCGGGCCCGCCA